UUUGUUGGAAGUGUGCUGCUGUCGCAGCUGCCUAUUUUGUGUGAAUACACUUUUCCAAGAGAGGGGGAAUGUAAGCGGUGUAUGUGCCAGGACCCGAGGCCCGGCUUUUGUGGAACAGGUCGUGACCAUAGACGCUCUGCUCUGCACUACAGGCCCCCUCUUCAGCUGUUGUUACUCUCUACACUGGGCACAAACAUUCUCUGUGGAGAGAGAAGAAGAGAUUACAUUGAUGUCGACAACGAUGGGUGCAGCCUACCACGGUCUGAAGAAGUUAAUGUUAAGGUUAAGAAGUUAAUGUUAAUGUUAAGAAGCUAAUGUUAAGGAAGUCACACUGCUUGCUUAGCGAGUACCGUUUCCUCCUGAUUCGGCUCAUACCAAGGCUCAAACCCAGCACCUCUGCCUCGCUAACACCCCUGACCACCCUCCAGAAGCAUCUUACCCUGUUGCGCCACCAAAAAGCUAGCUAUUCGGCAGCACCAGUAGAGACAUUUCAGGCUGAGGAGUGAGUUUCACAGAUCGCCAUCUGCUACAUUCACCCCCCAAACCCACUCCACAGCGACCCCAGCAUUGAGCUGAGCACAACUGAUGAUCCGGAACACAGCACCAUUGUAAAAGACGUCAUGCUGCUUGCUUAGCGAUUACCGCUUCCUCCUGAUUCAUUCAUACCGAGGCUCGAACCCAGGACCUCUGCCUCGACACGUAACCGCCCUCCUGAAGCGUCUUAUACAGUUGCGCCACUGAAAAAGUUGCUAUUCAGCAGCGCAAGUGGAGACUCUUCAAGCUGAGGAGUGAGUUUUACAGAUUGCCAUCUGCUACACUAACUUGUUUUUCCAAUUCAUUUCUGCAUGGAUAAAUAGCAAAAUUGCAUGCUCACAUGAAGAUGCAAACUGACAAUAUUGAGGAUAAAGUGUUUGAAACAUUCAAAGAUUCACUGAAGUUUAACUUUGAGUGAAACAAAUGUAUAAAUGACAACCAAUAUUUCCUCCUCAUCAUGCCUUUAAUAAACAUCUCUACUGAUA
Coregonus clupeaformis (lake whitefish) is the source of this 1019-nucleotide long non-coding RNA. RefSeq lists it as uncharacterized. The transcript is spliced from 2 exons. NCBI's taxonomy places the organism in Eukaryota, Metazoa, Chordata, Actinopteri, Salmoniformes, Salmonidae. The record is from RefSeq and is a predicted model, not a curated record.